Molecule: ribosomal RNA, 1347 nt
Filed under: uncultured bacterium
Lineage: Bacteria
Description: 16S ribosomal RNA
Rfam family: Bacterial small subunit ribosomal RNA
Source: RNAcentral
GACGAACGCUGGCGGCGUGCUUAACACAUGCAAGUCGAACGGAAAGGCCCUGCUUUUGUGGGGUGCUCGAGUGGCGAACGGGUGAGUAACACGUGAGUAACCUGCCCUUGACUUUGGGAUAACUUCAGGAAACUGGGGCUAAUACCGGAUAGGAGCUCCUGCUGCAUGGUGGGGGUUGGAAAGUUUCGGCGGUUGGGGAUGGACUCGCGGCUUAUCAGCUUGUUGGUGGGGUAGUGGCUUACCAAGGCUUUGACGGGUAGCCGGCCUGAGAGGGUGACCGGCCACAUUGGGACUGAGAUACGGCCCAGACUCCUACGGGAGGCAGCAGUGGGGAAUAUUGCACAAUGGGCGGAAGCCUGAUGCAGCAACGCCGCGUGCGGGAUGACGGCCUUCGGGUUGUAAACCGCUUUCGCCUGUGACGAAGCGUGAGUGACGGUAAUGGGUAAAGAAGCACCGGCUAACUACGUGCCAGCAGCCGCGGUGAUACGUAGGGUGCGAGCGUUGUCCGGAUUUAUUGGGCGUAAAGGGCUCGUAGGUGGUUGAUCGCGUCGGAAGUGUAAUCUUGGGGCUUAACCCCUGAGCGUGCUUUCGAUACGGGUUGACUUGAGGAAAGGUAGGGGGAGAAUGGAAUUCCUGGUGGAGCGGUGGAAUGCGCAGAUAUCAGGAGGAACACCAGUGGCGAAGGCGGUUCUCUGGGCCUUUCCUGACCGCUGAGGAGCGAAAGCGUGGGGAGCGAACAGGCUUAGAUACCCUGGUAGUCCACGCUGUAAACGGUGGGUACUAGGUGUGGGGUCCAUUCCACGGGUUCCGUGCCGUAGCUAACGCUUUAAGUACCCCGCCUGGGGAGUACGGCCGCAAGGCUGAAACUCAAAGGAAUUGACGGGGCCCCGCACAAGCGGCGGAGCAUGCGGAUUAAUUCGAUGCAACGCGUAGAACCUUACCUGGGUUUGACAUGGAUCGGGAGUGCUCAGAGAUGGGUGUGCCUCUUUUGGGGUCGGUUCACAGGUGGUGCAUGCCUGUCGUCAGCUCGUGUCGUGAGAUGUUGGGUUAAGUCCCGCAACGAGCGCAACCCUUGUUCACUGUUGCCAGCACGUUAUGGUGGGGACUCAGUGGAGACCGCCGGGGUCAACUCGGAGGAAGGUGGGGAUGACGUCAAGUCCUCAUGCCCCUUAUGUCCAGGGCUUCACGCAUGCUACAAUGGCUGGUACAGAGAGUGGCGAGCCUGUGAGGGUGAGCGAAUCUCGGAAAGCCGGUCUCAGUUCGGAUUGGGGUCUGCAACUCGACCUCAUGAAGUCGGAGUCGCUAGUAAUCGCAGAUCAGCAACGCUGCGGUGAAUACGUUCCCGGG